This 292-nucleotide ribosomal RNA is filed under the name uncultured bacterium. RNAcentral's name for it is "partial 16S ribosomal RNA". It matches the Rfam family "Bacterial small subunit ribosomal RNA", at positions 505 to 796 of the family's 1533-position model. The record is from RNAcentral.
GUGUCAGCCGCCGCGGUAAGACGAAGGUGGCAAGCGUUACUCGGAUUUACUAGGUGUAAAGCGUGGGCAGGUGGUUUGGUAAGUCUGCUGUGAAAGCUCCUGGCUUAACUGGGAGAGGCCAGUGGAUACUGCCAGGCUUGAAUAUGGGAGAGGUGACUGGAAUUCCUGGUGUAGCGGUGAAAUGCGUAGAGAUCAGGAGGAACAUCGAUGGCGAAAGCAGGUCACUGGACCAUUAUUGACACUCAUCCACGAAAGCUGGGGGAUCAAACAGGAUUAGAAACCCUUGUAGUCC